AUAUCAAUAAGCGGAGGAAAAGAAACCAACAGGGAUUGCCUUAGUAACGGCGAGUGAAGCGGCAAAAGCUCAAAUUUGAAAUCUAGCACUUUCAGUGUUCGAGUUGUAAUUUGAAGAAGGUAACUUUGGAAUUGGCCUCUUGUCUAUGUUCCUUGGAACAGGACGUCACAGAGGGUGAGAAUCCCGUGCGAUGAGAUGUCCAAUUCUAUGUAAAGUGCUUUCGAAGAGUCGAGUUGUUUGGGAAUGCAGCUCUAAGUGGGUGGUAAAUUCCAUCUAAAGCUAAAUAUUGGCGAGAGACCGAUAGCGAACAAGUACAGUGAUGGAAAGAUGAAAAGAACUUUGAAAAGAGAGUGAAAAAGUAC
RNAcentral lists this ribosomal RNA (362 nucleotides) under uncultured fungus. RNAcentral's name for it is "eukaryotic LSU rRNA". It matches the Rfam family "Eukaryotic large subunit ribosomal RNA", at positions 40 to 398 of the family's 3401-position model. The record is from RNAcentral. Lineage: Eukaryota; Fungi.